Molecule: long non-coding RNA, 1656 nt
Organism: Myotis myotis
Lineage: Eukaryota; Metazoa; Chordata; Mammalia; Chiroptera; Vespertilionidae
Exons: 3
Source: RefSeq, a predicted model, not a curated record
AAUGGAGAUUGAGCUCGCAACCUGUGCAUAUGCCCCGACUGGGAAUCCAAUCGUGAUCUCCCAGUUCAUAAGUCGAUGCUCAAACACUGAGCCACACCGGCCAGGCAACAUUUGGUCAUUUUGAAGAGAACUGAAGUCUUUAAAACCACCCUCUCUGUACAGGAUCACUGGGGUAACAUGACAUGGCCCACUUCUUUUUCCCCACCUGCCCCUAGGAAGCACAUUUUCUGCUUCCCAGCACCCAAGUUACAAUUCUGUGUAAUGAGAUGGAAGUAGAAAUGUCUGAGGUCUUUCAGGGAAACCUUUUACUUUCCUGGUAAAAGGGAAAGAUGACCUAGUGCUGCUUCUUUGUCCCAGUUCAACCUUGAGUGAUGUGGCCCUGAUGCCUGGAGAUACAGCAGUGGUCAGACUGUGGGCAAGAAUGCCAUGUACCAUGGAACAGAGCACUAUAGAUUCACUGCACCAGCCCUGGACUGCUUACCUCCGGACUUCCUACACCAGAAAGAAGCCCUUUCUUGUUUAAGUAGAUUCAGGUUUCUGUUACUUAUGGACAGACAAACCUUACUGAUAGAAUUGGUAUCUGAAAAUUAGUGACUCCCAGGAUCAUUUUUAAAUUUAAUACAGGACUUAGGAAAAAUUGUUUAAUUGUAUUUUAACACAUGUUUAGUACAGUCUUAAAUAUGGUGCCUGCUGGCCAGCUCAGGGGGGUGGGGAUGGGGGUGGGAGCAGAUUCAGAAAAGGAACAAUGGCCUCUGCCAGCAUGUUUGGGAGGAAGCUGUCAUGUCUUCCCUACCCCCCACCCCCCACUUGCCUCCCCCAGGUCUUGGCCCGAUGCUGGACAAUUCAGUUCCUCCCCAUUUGUCUCUGGUGCCUUUCAAGCUGCUGCCCCAGCACUGGAGCUCAGGAUUGAGUCUGACUGUUGGCAGAGGAUCCAAUAGAAGAUACCAGGACCGGCAAGAAGAUACGUGCCUAAGUCUGUAAAUGCAGAGUCUCCACCCCACCCCAUCCACCAACACAAACACUGCUGUGAGCACGAUACACUUCUAUGCAAAGCCACUGACAUCUGCCAGUUGUUUCUUCCAGCAACUUCCCUCUCUGAUACAGGCCUGUCCCUCUCUCUAGUCAUUAGCUGUCCUUCCAUCUGUGCAGCCUGUGCCUGAGGAAACUGCACAAUGGCCAGGCCAAAGCCCUGAACACAAUUACUGAUGCCUCCAGAACAUGACACCAUUUAGAAAUUAAUUCCCUGGCCAAUUCUUGGAGCCAAGGCUAAAUGGGGAAACAGAGGCAGAGGAAGGAAUCAGUGGCCAGAGUGGAGGCACCAGGAGGCAAAACAAGAGCCAGUGCUGCACUUGGUCACACGGUCCCACCUCUCCCCACUGGCCUGGCUUGCCCACUGUUUAGUUGGCCUCUAAAGUGUCCUUAUUACAGGUAAAGUGAAACCCCACAAUGAAGAAUCACCCUUUAUCUCCAGAAGUGAUUAUGUGACUAAUUUGAAAUCUCUGUGACUCCUUGUUUUCCUCUUCAGCAUCAAUUCUAGGACCAUAAUGGGGGUGGAAAGCUACCACUUGGCCUGAGAAGUUUAGUCUGAAUUCUGGGAAAGAGGCAGCCUGGCUCCUUAACUGUAAAUAGGUCAUUAAGAACAAGAACAAGUGGAUG